This 399-nucleotide ribosomal RNA is filed under the name uncultured bacterium. RNAcentral describes it as "partial 16S ribosomal RNA". It matches the Rfam family "Bacterial small subunit ribosomal RNA", at positions 360 to 776 of the family's 1533-position model. The record is from RNAcentral.
AAUAUGGCACAAUGGGCGAAAGCCUGAUGCAGCAACGCCGCGAGAGUUAUUAAGGCAUUCGGGUCNUCAUUCUCUUUGAUCAGGGANGAUAAUGACAGUACCUGAAAAACAAGCAACGGCUAACUACGUGCCAGCAGCCGCGGUAAUACGUAGGUGGCGAGCGUUGGCCGGAAUUACUGAGCGUAAAGGAUGCGUAGGUGGAUAUUUAAGUGGGAUGUGAAAGCCCCGGGCUCAACCCGGGAACUGCAUUCCACACUGGGUAUCUAGAGUGCAGGAGAGGAAAGCAGAAGUCCUAGUGUAGCGGUGAAAUGCGUAGAUAUUAGGAAGAACACCAGUGGCGAAGGCGGCUUUCUGGACUGUAACUGACACUGAGGCAUGAAAGCGUGGGUAGCAAACAGG